UGAGUAAAGUAUCGGAACGUGCCCAGUCGUGGGGGAUAACGCAGCGAAAGUUGUGCUAAUACCGCAUACGAUCUAUGGAUGAAAGCGGGGGAUCGCAAGACCUCGCGCGAUUGGAGCGGCCGAUAUCAGAUUAGCUAGUUGGUGAGGUAAAGGCUCACCAAGGCGACGAUCUGUAGCUGGUCUGAGAGGACGACCAGCCACACUGGGACUGAGACACGGCCCAGACUCCUACGGGAGGCAGCAGUGGGGAAUUUUGGACAAUGGGCGCAAGCCUGAUCCAGCAAUGCCGCGUGCAGGAUGAAGGCCUUCGGGUUGUAAACUGCUUUUGUACGGAGCGAAAAGGCUCUCUCUAAUACAGGGGGCUCAUGACGGUACCGUAAGAAUAAGCACCGGCUA
This 396-nucleotide ribosomal RNA is filed under the name uncultured bacterium. RNAcentral describes it as "bacterial SSU rRNA". It matches the Rfam family "Bacterial small subunit ribosomal RNA", at positions 107 to 499 of the family's 1533-position model. The record is from RNAcentral.